GUAAGGACGUAUGACAGCAUAUGACAUAUGACAGUGAACAGACAUAAUUAGAUGCGAACAAUCAUCUGUUGCCGAAACUGGAUAUCAGGUCAAGAAACAUUUCUAAAAUACUGGAUGAAGACGAAAGACAAAUAUAACACUAAAGUAAAAUUCAACAGUGAAAGUUAAAAUGCACGGACUCAUGUCAGUUAAAAUUAAAUUUGCUCUGAAAGCUAGUGACUCGCCAUCUUUUGAAAAAUUCAGUUCACAUCGCUUAGUUUAUGUCCAGUCUCACCCUCUUCUCAUACACACGCAUGGCUGUAAACACAAGCUGCUGGGAGGGCUUACAAACCUCGGUAGCUGAAGUACGGGGCGAGAGCAGACGACAGUCUUGGCUCAUGCGCAGACAGAACCGAAAGUGACAAAGUACGCCAUUGGUCACAUCUGAUACUCUCGGCCUUAAAAAGGAGAAAAUGUUCGUGUAGCAGCCGGUGGCAACUGGAAGACUGGAGUCUGCGGGAAACGUCAUUUGUGAAGAACGUCUGAAGGAAGGAAAUGACGUCAUAGCUUUGGUAUGUGGGAGUCGUCUGCUUCACUCUGGAAGAGACGAAUACCCGGAUCUUGGAUGAAUUAGAUCUCUAUGUCGUAGUUUCUAGAAAAAAACCUGAACGUGUAAAAGAAUGCUUGAGGAUGAAGCUGACAUCAGUGUAUGGGAAAGCUAGUUCCAUCGCCACCUUGCGGAUGAGAAAGACUAUACUGCAUUCAAAUACAGAAACGCGGCUGGCGCAUUUAAGGUCCAUCUGCCGGUGACUUCCACCACGGACAUUCUGCGAGUUCCGUGCCUACACAAACGAAAAACAACCUAGAGAAAAAGUCCACAUGAAAGUGGAAAGCUGAAAAGGAAGAACAAAGGCCACAAGGAAGGAAAACCAGUCAAAGACAAUUAAAAAGGAUUCCAACAAGAAAUCCAAACAGACAAAAGGCGAGAUAUUUCAAAAUAAUGCAGAAAAACGAUCAACAGAGAGCUGGCCUCUCUAAAGCCAGCAACGGUUUCACAGUUUAUCGACACCUUCCUCGAGUCAGAACUGGGACGAGAGAACGGUGUGUGCAAAUAAGCACAAAAAGCAAGAAGAAAGCACGAGGAAGAGAGAAUCAAAACAGGAGCUGUAUAUCCUGACACGAGAAGUGAUGGCGGAGUGAAGAUCUGACACAGCCAGACGUGUUCUCGCCUCUUUUCGUGACUUUGCACCUAUUAUCUCUGCAGUCAGGCGGAAACAUCGGCGGCAACAGUGCAGGAAGCUGAGACACAAACAUGGACGAGUAGGUGAAUCCUCCGUUUGCCUCUCAGACCACUGGAUGCAAUGCAGUCGUGAAAACAUCGUCUACCGUCC
Long non-coding RNA from Pomacea canaliculata, 1370 nucleotides. RefSeq lists it as uncharacterized. The record is from RefSeq and is a predicted model, not a curated record. Lineage: Eukaryota; Metazoa; Mollusca; Gastropoda; Architaenioglossa; Ampullariidae. The transcript is spliced from 4 exons.